CAGCCGUAAACUAUGCUCGCUAGGUGUCAGGGACGGUGCGACCGUUUCUGGUGCCGCAGGGAAGCCGUGAAGCGAGCCACCUGGGAAGUACGGUCGCAAGGCUGAAACUUAAAGGAAUUGGCGGGGGAGCACUACAACGGGUGGAGCCUGCGGUUUAAUUGGACUCAACGCCGGAAAUCUUACCGGGACCGACAGCAACAUGAAGGCCAAGCUGAAGACUUUGCCGGAUUAGCUGAGAGGAGGUGCAUGGCGUAGUCGUGU
Molecule: ribosomal RNA, 261 nt
Filed under: uncultured archaeon
Lineage: Archaea
Description: partial 16S ribosomal RNA
Rfam family: Archaeal small subunit ribosomal RNA
Source: RNAcentral